This 8774-nucleotide unclassified non-coding RNA is filed under the name Leishmania donovani. RNAcentral describes it as "gene:LdHU3.30.4250(CDS-product:hypothetical_prote in_conserved)". Lineage: Eukaryota; Euglenozoa; Kinetoplastea; Trypanosomatida; Trypanosomatidae. The record is from RNAcentral.
UGUCAGUAGCACUCUGGAGUGAACACAGUAUACGGCGUGCACCUCUCUGCCUUUUCUGUCUCUUCCCACUCUCUCACGACCCUACGCCAACGUACAGUUCGACUGUCUCUCAUCCAGCAACGCUGCCUCACCCUUCUGCCUGCCCCCCCCCCGUUUUUCACCGCUGUCCCACACCUCUCGCCUCACUCUCUUUCUCUCUGUCCAUCGCUGUAAUCACCCAAUCACACACACAUACACACAGCCUCUUCAUCACACUCACAGCCCGUACAGCACGUGCCUAGGUUCAUUUCUGUGUGUGCUUGUUCGCCACUCGCUUCAGCUCAACAGCUCACCCGAGACAUAGACGACGAGGAAGAACAAAGAAAGAGGAGAUUACCGUUAACUCUGAACUCACAGGUGUAUCCCGCGCACGCUCCGGCAAGUCGCAAAGGAUCAGGUCUCUCACUCGUGCACCUCUCUCCAGCACAUUCCAACAACCGCGAAAAAGUGUCUGCAUCACUCCUGAUGAGCGAGGAGGACAGGAUGCUCCACGUGGUCGUGCUCUCCGAUGACUCGAACGAGUCGUCUCCGUGCGACCAGCUGGAGCAGAGCUUUGCCUCCAUCGCGAGCUCUCUCGGCCCUCCGUGCACAGCACACUCUGACAGCUUCAGCUGCAAGGGAGGCGACGUGCUCUACGAGUUCGAUGAAGAGAACAGCGAGGAGAGCGAGGAGACACCGGCCGAGGCGGCGGAGAGGAUGCGCCAAGAGCGGCAUUACCGUCUUCGGUACGGCCCCAGCCGGGCAAACCGCAGCCACGACCGGCAGAGCAUUCUUUCGGCUCGCCAGAACCUACUGAACGAGUUCAUUCUUCGCGAAACCAAGGAGGCGACCGUAAGCCGCCAGGAUCACCACAUCAUGCUGCGCCAGCUGAUCAGCGCGGCAUACUUCCGAGACCCUAACCGCGUCUCCAACCGCCCCCUGUGGCGCCGCAUUAUGGCGGCUAUCGGAAAGGAGUACUACGGCUCGAAGGCGAUCUUCUCACUCUCCCCUGACCCGUACGAAAGCGUCGUGGCGAAGCUGUCAUCGAUGAUGCUCUGGGACGAUGAGAUCCGCCACUGGGCGUAUGGCUACUGCGACUCGGAGAUAACCCGCCGCCGCAACGCGCAGGUCGAGACGCUAAAGAAGCUGGAGGCGAGCGGAAGGCUCUUCUUGUAGACGGCAGACUACAACUCCGCCCCGGUCUCUGUUCUCCUCCCUUCUCUCUUGAGGCUUCAUGAACGAUUGCAGACAUGCUUGCGCAACGGCAAAAUCUCAAAUCGGACAUGCACGCACCCACCCACAUGCACGGACAGGUACACACACACACACGCACACAGUUCAUCCGCUGCGUCAAGCCGGUUGCAUGCGGAUGAGGCGCGGACGCGUAUAUGUGAGUGGCAGUGAAAGUGAGACGUAUCUGUGCGUUGUGAGCUGUGCGUUCUUUUUUGGGGUUUUGCAUGUGCAUGUGCGCAUGUUCGACGAUGCAAGGCGCAGCAGUCCACCCACGCGAAUUUAUGUGACCUUGGCACGCCGUGGUGACAUGGAGGGUGCACGUGUAUGCCAGUAGUCCAGUGCGGGUCUUCUGUGCACGAGCUUUUGUUUGUGCUUCUCUUUCUCGUUUGUGUCCUUUCGCCUUUGUGUGUGCUUGCGCGUGUCGGUGUCUUCGUUGAUCAUGCCAUGAUGGGGAUGGCGUCAUCUCUGGCUUGACAUGGACGCACAAGUAUCAUCCCUCUUCCAUGCAAGUGCGCUCCCUUCCUCCUUUUUCGUUGCUUGCUGAGAUUUCGACACCCGUUUCCUUGUUUUCGUGGUACGACUUUUUGCGGUUGUUGUUGUUCAUUGUCUCGCUUCAUGUGCAGCGCGCAGACGACACACACACACACGCACGUACGCACGCAUAGAUGGAAGCGUGCAUAGGAGCCCAAGAGGGUCUAGCCUCCCUGAGCAAGCACACCACUGCGGCAAUGGCUAUAUAUAUAUAUGUACAUAUACAAGGAGGAGACACGCGCGCACGCGCACGUGCCAUCACCAAGGCAAUCAUCACAAGUGCAGCCCAAAGCACACAUGUUGAGAAACAGAAGGAAGGAAAGAAGCCCGGCACCGAAGCGAAGGGGAGAAAACUCCGCCAACGAACUCGCAACACAGACUGACGUCUCUUCGUCUUCGUUCUGGCUCGAACUCGUAACGAAGUGCAAAUUUGUUGACGACGACCUAUCGAAGAACGAAAAAGAGGUAAAAAAUAAUGAAAGCGACUCCGCUCUGCGCGAGCGGAAAAGCGCGGAUAAGAACAGCAACAAAGAAGGGAAAAGGAAAACAGGAAGAAAAAAACCGCGCACAAAACGCAAAGAGGUGCAACACAACGGAGAAGGUGGCAUGAAAAGAGAAACCAAAAUCAGCAAAGGCGAUCCUAAACUAAAACGUAACGUGCAAUCACACGUAAACAGCCCAACCAUUUUUGUGUGAAAAAGCACACUAGAUUCGCACAUGUGUAAUGCGCAGAAGGGUGCGUUGCACAUUCAUGCGCGCAACACACACGCACACACAAAAAGAACGAGCUCUUGCGCCGCCUUUCCGCUUAUGUUGGCAGCACUUCAAAGAAAAGAAACAAAAAGGAAGAGCUGCAUCAUUGUGUCUAGGUGUGUGUCUGUGCGUGAGAGUAAGUGCACAUGUUGGUGUUUUGCUGCGCGGAGUUCGAAGGACAAAGUCGACUUUGCUGGUAUCGGAGGAAAACAAGAAGGUCUCAGAAGACUACAUUUAACUUACGCAAAAGGAAGGGACUUGGCAUGUCGGUGGUGCACAUUCCAGUAUCUCUUUUUUUUUUUCACUGUUUGCUAGUAUUUCUUCUAAGCGACUUAUUUUCCAGUUGAUUGGUGCUCAUUGUUGUUUUUGUGGGCGUGCAUGCGCAGCUGCAUGAGGUUUGAUGGGUCUGCCUCCUUUCUAUUUUCGUGUACUCAUACAAGUGCGUCUGUGUGCGCCUAUCUAUGCUGUGCUUUGGGGACAAAGCCUGCACAGAACACCAACGCAUCCCACACCUCGCCGUGCAGCAGUGAUCACGCCGCUUUCUCAAACGGUGAAGACACACGCAGACGCAGCCACAGUCACCUGCGCAGACUCGCACACGUUCUUCAAUGAUCUUCUCUCGAUAUAGUCGAUUUUCCGACGCUGAGCACCCCCGCUCUUCCUAUUGACUUCUUUGUUAUCUUUAGUCAUUGCUGAUGAUUGCUUGAAGGUUGAUGUUGUGUGCAUGUGUGUCUCUCACUGUGUGUGUGUGUGUGCGUGUGGAUUCGAGUACGUCAGUGAUACACCAUUCCGUCCUUUUUUUUUUCGCACUUGAAUCGCGCCCUUUUUUUUUGCGUCCUUUCUUCUUUUUGCUUUAUUAUUAUUAUUUGAUUUCUGGGUGCGCGCUCACCGUGGUAUCAGGGCCCAGUACACCACACUCUGUGUGAGGAAGCCAAGAGCCUGCAGCCUGCCUCCGCUCAUAAUGGCUGACUUUUGGUAUCGGCAGUCAGGACUGGGCUGGCGCUGUGCCGGUGAGACUUGCGGUCAUGAUCGCAUCUGCCCCAGCUCACUACGAAUCGCCUCCGCGAUUUGACGGAUACACUCAUCAGGGUAAGCCUGCUGAGUCGCUUGCUGUAGAAUAGCACCUUGAAAGAUGUCACUUCGUAUAGCGUCUUGGUUAUUUCGUGCCUCGUAGGAUGCUGUGGAGGAAGGGGCGGAAGGGAAGGUUGCCCUUCCGAAGUCAGGGAAGACGGCGAAACUCGAAAAAAAAUCAAAAGAAGGGGGUGAGCACGUGCGUUGAGAGACACAGUUUUUUUUUUUUUUUUGCUCUGUUCUCUUUUCUCGCGUCAGGCGUGGUCGCUGUUUACCAUGCGAAGAUAACAGAACAUGGUAAGAAAGGAUAGGGCGGGAGAGAAAGCUAGGAGGUGCAGGGGUAAAGUGUUUGACUACUCGGUGUCGUAGUGGUAGAAGGCGACGGCGCUGAUGGCGUCAGACGGUACCAAAAGAAGAAAAGGGCAAGGGGAAACGCAGAGGAAAGCACCACAGAGCAAUCUCUCCCCCGAAGGAAAAAAAGAAAAGAUACAGCUCCGAAGAAAAGUCAUGUAGCGCAUGUAUGACCACACUCGUACGCUAGCGGAAACAGUCACAGGCACGCGAGGAACGGCAAAAGGAAAAGGAGAGAAUCUGCUGAGAAGAGGAACAAUAAAGAUGCCCCUUUUCUUUUUCUUUCCUUUUGUGUUCACCUCUCCCUUCUCCUCUUGCUGUGGUUUCCUUCUUCUUUCGGUAGGUGUUGGUGUCCUUCCGGGGCCUCUCUUACAUUGCGCCUCUCUCUUAAUUGUGACCGAUAAGUAUUCCACCGCUGACGGAAGUUCUUCGCGCGGCGUGUCUUCUUUUUGUUGUUGCUCGUUCCGUUUUCGGGCUUCUCACCCAUUGCCCUCUCCGCCACACCUUAGCACCUGUUAGCCUCUCCUUCCACGUGCCUCUCCCUCACCAUUUUUCGCUCGCUUGCCAUUCUUUUCUUUGUAGUGUUUGGCUUGUUUUCUUUGUACUCCUCGCCCUUUUUGGCUUCUCUCUUCGCUCUUCCGCCCACCCCACUUUCCCUCCGUUGCCUUGCCUUUUUGUAUGCCUGGGUGUGAGCGUGUCUUCCGAGAUCAUCAUUCAUUUACGGCGCACCUUUGUGUUUCCUUUUCUCUAUGUGCAUGUGCUUGUCUUUCGCGUGUGCAUGUGUGUGUUUCACAGUAAUGCGCCGCUGCUUUCUUCCUUUAUAUCUCCCUUUUCUCUUUUCUCUUUUCUGUAUUUCUUUUUUCGUGCAUGUGUUGUUGUCGUUUCCUGCCGUGUUCGAAGAGCCCCCUCUGAGUUUAUAUCGAUGAUGGCUUCUCUUGCUUGUGUGUUUGCGCCCCGCUCCCCUUGCCUCACCUCACCUCACCUCCACCCCGCUUCCCUCCCUCUUGUUGACGUCGAGCAUCUCUCCUCCCUUCAAUGGCUCCUUUGGGGUAUGGGUGCUCUGAAUGAUGUGUUUUGAGGCGAGGUAUGCAUGUGUGUGUGCGUGUCGUGAGAGAGAGUGUGGCGCUACGCACGCGUGACAGGCGUUGGAAAGAUAUGUGGACGGCAUCAGCACCGCAAGGUAGACUGAGGGCGAGUAAGAGGUGGAGAGUCUAUGCAUGUGAAGUGUAGAGAGAAGAAAGCAUGCGCAGGCUACCACCGGCGUUGCCGCCUCUGUCGCUGUUGGGACUGAUAGGCCGAAGAAGGGAUACACGCAUGCGAAAGCAAUCAGGAAGGGCUCACCUAUCGAAAUGUCACGUGUGCGCUUCCUGUUUGCGUUCCGUUGUGCGCGUGUGUGUGGCGGGGGCGUGUGUUUCUGGAUGAUGCUUGCGCUUUACCGCUGUUGCUCUGGUACUGUCGGCGUAGCUUCUCCGCCUUGGCCCCGCGCUCUGCUCCUCACGCCUGUGUUUGAGCACCGCUUCGUGCUGUGCCUUUGAUUUGAGUCUUUUUUCUUUAUACAGCUCUGCUGCUCAUGCCUCCUCCGCUUUGGCAACGGCACCGAAAUCCAUGCCUCAUUCGCUUCUCGACAACCCACCUGUUUUCGCCAUUGCUGCUUCAUGCACCACCGCACCAUCCUCUGUAGGCCCCUCUUUUUCUCUUCCGUGCAUAUCGCUCCCCUGUGUGUUCGUGAACAGCGAUGAAGAUGGACGCGCAAGCCAGGGGCUGCGACAUUGUGGGCUUCUCCCCUUUCCUUGUGUGUGGCAGUUCUUCGGCGUCGCUUUCAGUUUUCACGAGCUGCAUAGCCCCCCCCCUUCUCGAGGUAGUCUGUCUCUUGGGCAUGAGGCAUGCCGUCGCCCAAUCAUGCGUGCCGGGCUCCUCGUUUCUGCCUGUGCGCUCACAUGCGUCCGUCUGCAUGCUCUCGAGCAUCAGUAGCGAGUGUGGAGAGGAGGGCAGGCCGAGUAAGUGCAAUGGACGAGGGCACCGGCGCGCUGAUGGUCUUCGUGGUCUCUGUGGGUGAGGAGUUCGACGGGGGAACGCGACAACCAAUCAACGUCUGUGCACCGCAGAGGUGCACACCGUCGCUAAGAAAGCCGCUGGAUGUGGAGGUGCACCUUUCAACGUGUGAAUCUCUUUGGGCGAAAUGACCAGCGUUUUUCUCCUUUUUUGCCGGAGUUUUCAAAGUUUCCGUUCGGCCAUAUAACCUGUGUCAAACGCCACCCCCGGGCACGUCACAGGCCCCGUCGCCCGGUGCAACGCAGCGGCCGGCACGUGCAUUACGGCAGCGCACCGGCUCGGCCACCUGCGCACGGGCCCUGCCUCGUACUCUACCCACCUCUGCCUCGCAGGUUACCUCACAGCCGCUCCCAUCAUGCCGGCCGCCCCGCCGGUGCAUCUCCCUCGGGGUGGCGCUCCAAGCUCUCCCCCAGUAAGCAGCGAGGGCCGGGCGAGACACGCUUGGGUCACGCUGACACCCUGCCCAUCAUGUGGGUGGUGCAAACGCGCUCGCUGCCGCAGGUCGCUCCGACGCAACGCCAUCUACGACCUGAGCACCGGCAUCAGCAGCCAUGCAUCGCUCUGACUUUCCCACGCCGUAGGUGCCCCUGUCACCACCCGAGGCGGCUCGGCACUGGCAGGGGGAUAGGGGGAUAAGGGGGGCGGCCCGGGGCCAUGAGGAUGCCACGCGUUGCGACGUGCCUCCCGUCAUCAAGGAGCGAACAGCUGGGCGAAAAAAAAAGAGCAACUUACUUGUCGACACAGACGUGUAAAGCCCGUUUCAAUGAACAAUGAGAGUGCGAGGCACCCCUGGGAAUGUCGCAGGCUUCACCGAAUCUAUAUUUCUGCUUUCAUGGGUGCUCUUUUGCUCCUCUUGUGCUUUUAUGCUUUGGUGCUCGGGUGGGUUGAUGAGCAAGACGAUGAGGCGUUGCGGCGCAUGCUCGAAAUUUUUUUUUUCAAUCUUUACCUCUCCUUACUUGUCGUGCGCAGCGCCAUGUCCUUUUCGCAGCUCUCUUUGUAUCCGUCGCCGCAUUUCGUGGUUGCAUUCACGGAUUUCCCUUUUUUUGGCUCGCCUGUACUUUUAGUUUUUCUUUUUGCCUCGCAUCAAUUGAAAACAACACGCACACGCUCAUCUCCAGCCACACGUACUCAGCUCCCUGGGUUUACAAGUGGGCUCAUGGGCUGAGGACUCUCUUUGCUUACAUUUUUGUGUGGUUAUAUGUCUCUCUCUGUUUGUGCGUGUGUGUGUGUGGCUUUCCUUCCCUUUUCUUUCUCUUCUUCCUCCUCCCCUCUUUUCUCUUUAGCUUUCCCCUUUUUUCUCGUGCCAUCGUUGUCAUUUGUUUUUUUUUUCGUGCUUAAUCCACGAACCCAUUUAGUGCCCCGCACGCAAACACGCGCGCCGAUAUGAACCCACAGAGGCAGGCACGUCCACCUGCAAGCACUAAUCCCUGAGCUGCAGAAGUGCUUCUUGUGUUUUUUUUUGUCGUGUGUGGAGGGGGCUCCUGCCUUUUUUUUUUUGCGUGCCUCGUUGAGUUUCCUCCGUUUACGGAUGUGCCUCUGUGUGCACAAGUUCAUAAAAGGUGACAGUUUAAGUGCCUGCUCUCCCUUAUGCCUCGCUGGGUGCCCCUCUCCGUCCGCCCGUCUUCCUUUUUACCUUCUCUCCGUACGCCUUAAGCGCUCCAAUUCUUGUGCGCUCGCCGACGUUGCUAUUCGGGUGCUUGCAACACUGCGUAGCUUGGGUGGUUUGUUUGUGUGCUCCGAGGCGUUGGCGUGUGCGGAGGCGGCCUACUCGCGUCCUCCUUCUAUACCCUCAAGCACACGGGCUCACAUGCAUGUGCCCUUCCUGUGCCGUUGCAUGCCGAGUGACGUAAUCAAUAAAGGAAGAAGGAUGUGGAGCAACAGCGAAUACUAAAGUGAAGCGGUCAGGAAAUGGAACAAGCAUGGCGAACGAAAAAGAUGCAGAUGCGCCCGCCCUCAGGACUCGAGAGUCGACGUGGACGUUUUUCUUUUUCUAUUACUCCUUCGCAUUACACAGGGGUUGCUGGAUGAAAAAGACAGGUGAGGCUGCGUUUUGUGUGUGCGCGUGCUUGCGCUUGUCUGUGAUCGACGUUAUCGUCAUCUAAUCUAUCGCGUGACGUGUACACGUCUCCGCUGUGCCUCCCCCUUUCAUCGCUUCCCGCUCAAAGUAUUUCGUUAGCGUUUAGGUGUGCGCAUCAGCGGCUGUAAGCGUGUGUGUGUGUGUACGUGCGCUUCGCUGGGUGUUGGUAUGCAUCUGUGUUCGAUGGGCUUCCCCUCCCCGCACUUACAAAGGUGAGAGCAUGCAUGUGCUCAGAUGAAUGUGCACACGUUGACACACGUGCGCCACGCGCACGCAGGCACACACAAGCACUGCAGCCGUUCGGAAUGGCUCCCUUUUUUCGUGGUUGUUCGUUUGCCACCUCACCUCUCUCUCCGUGCUUGAGAGAAAUGGAAAGGAAUGACGACAGCAAAACAGUGGGUGGGAGAGGGACGGCGAGAGCCACAAUGAAGCGAAGGGCAUAGAGCGGCCGAAAGCCAAAGCAGAAAAAUGUGGCGGUCGACUGGGCAGUAGCACUGCAUGUCAGAGAAAGGCAGGUGGCAGCUUUGGAUUGACAUGUUCAUUUCUGUGAUCCCCCUCCACACACACGAUCUGUGUAAUGUGUCUGAGCGUACGCGCGUGACGGCCUUUGAUGUUUUCCACCGCUUUUUCUUUCGUUGUCUCUUGGACAUCUUCCGUCUCUCGUCUUCGGUUAUUUUGAUCUUGCCAG